GACGAACGCUGGCGGCGUGCUUAACACAUGCAAGUCUACGAGAAAAGGGUAGCAAUAUCCUCGGUAAAGUGGCGCAAGGGUGAGUAAUAUAUAAGUAAUCUACCUAUGGGUUUGGAAUAACUCGUCGAAAGACGGGCUAAUACCGUAUAAUGCAGCGGCACCGCAUGGUGAUGUUGUUAAAGUCUAUACGACGCCUAUAGAUGAGCUUGUAUCAGAUUAGCUAGUUGGUAGGGUAAUGGCCUACCAAGGCAACGAUCUGUAACUGGUCUGAGAGGAUGAUCAGUCACACUGGAACUGAGACACGGUCCAGACUCCUACGGGAGGCAGCAGUGAGGAAUAUUGGGCAAUGGACGCAAGUCUGACCCAGCAACGCCGCGUGGAGGAUGAAGGCCGUAAGGUUGUAAACUCCUUUUGAGAAGGACGAAAAUUUCCGAUCGACUCGGAACUUGACUGUACUUCUAGAAGAAGCCCCGGCUAACUACGUGCCAGCAGCCGCAGUAAUAC
This 504-nucleotide ribosomal RNA is filed under the name uncultured bacterium. Its description in RNAcentral is "bacterial SSU rRNA". It matches the Rfam family "Bacterial small subunit ribosomal RNA", at positions 28 to 526 of the family's 1533-position model. The record is from RNAcentral.